RNAcentral lists this ribosomal RNA (460 nucleotides) under uncultured bacterium. RNAcentral describes it as "partial 16S ribosomal RNA". It matches the Rfam family "Bacterial small subunit ribosomal RNA", at positions 338 to 795 of the family's 1533-position model. The record is from RNAcentral.
CCUACGGGGGGCAGCAGUGAGGAAUAUUGGUCAAUGGGCGAGAGCCUGAACCAGCCAAGUCGCGUGAAGGAUGACGGCCCUACGGGUUGUAAACUUCUUUUGUCAGGGAGCAAUUGAGUCCACGUGUGGGCUUAGCGAGAGUACCUGAAGAAAAAGCAUCGGCUAACUCCGUGCCAGCAGCCGCGGUAAUACGGAGGAUGCGAGCGGUAUCCGGAUUUAUUGGGUUUAAAGGGUGCGUAGGCGGAAUAUCAAGUCAGCGGUAAAAAUUCGGGGCUCAACCCCGUCGUGCCGUUGAAACUGAUGGUCUUGAGGGGGCGAGAAGGAUGAGGAAUGCGUGGGGGAGCGGUGGACUGCAGAGAGAACACGCAGAACUCGGAGUGCGAAGGGAGCAUACCGGCGCCCAAGUUACGCUGAAGCACGAAAGCGGGGGUAUCGAACAGGAUUAGAGACCCCUUUAGUC